CUGGAGGAGGCUGCACAGUAUACCCUCAGGACUUGCUCUGUUUGAGGAAUGCUGUGCUAUCCCCUGCUGUUUGCAGAGUUGGGUAGCGUAUUUAGGCUUUUAAGAAGACUUCUGCACUCAGGAAGAAAAUGUGCCCAGCUUAUAGCUGCUCUUGAGCCAGCUUCAGGAGCCUCUUGGCCAAUAUCCCACAAGGAAGGCAGCCCAGGGCUCCAGUUUUCUCUCUCCCUUUGGCUAGGUCUCUUUCUCUCUCCCAGUUCUCCUUCCUUACUCCAUUCCUAGUGGGCACCAAACCAGCCCAACCUGACUCUCAUGUCUCUUUCAAGUCAUCUCCCCACUCCUGGCACAGGUCACUGGCUCUGAUCAGGGCUUCUCUGUCACGUGAGGCUGGCCACAGGACUGGGAGGCACCGAAAAGCAAGACCCCUGAAAGCCAAAUGUGAUCUUGUCUACCUAAUUAACAACCCUCCAGCUAUUCCACACCCAGGACGGCCUGAAACCACUUCUGCAGCUGACUCUUGUCUUGCUCAAAGCCCUAGGACAGCUCUUCAGACCCCAAAGCAUGGGCUUUUCACACUCUCAUGUUUCUGCCCUGGCCCUCCUGAUGCCAGCUUCUCCUCCACCCAGUCGAAGCACGGAGCAAACCUCAUGGAUUGGUAUUAGUUUCUCAUAAACCUUUCUCCUGCCCCUAGAAGGGCCUGGGGAGAUGCCUGGCGUCCCCUCCUGUGUCAGAAGGCACUCAUCCAUGUUCGCUAACCACAUGAAUGCAAUGUGACACAGGACAGGUUGUCCUGAGGUUGUCACAUCUUCCUUCAGAAAAAAAAAUGACCCUAGUUGCAUGGCACACUGGAACCAGAGGGGAACUGAAGGCCCAUGCAGAAUAUUGGCUGAAAAUAU
RNAcentral lists this long non-coding RNA (893 nucleotides) under Marmota monax (woodchuck). Lineage: Eukaryota; Metazoa; Chordata; Mammalia; Rodentia; Sciuridae. The record is from RNAcentral.